GAUGAACGCUGGCGGCGUGCUUAACACAUGCAAGUCGAACGGAAAGGCCCUGCUUUUGGGGGGUGCGCGAGUGGCGAACGGGUGAGUAACACGUGAGUAACCUGCCCUUGACUUUGGGAUAACUUCUGGAAACUGGGGCUAAUACCGGAUAGUAGCUCCUGCUGCAUGGUGGGGGUGGGAAAGUUUCGGCGGUUGGGGAUGGACUCGCGGCUUAUCAGCUUGUUGGUGGGGUAGUGGCUUACCACGGCUUUGACGGGUAGCCGGCCUGAGAGGGUGACCGGCCACAUUGGGACUGAGAUACGGCCCAGACUCCUACGGGAGGCAGCAGUGGGGAAUAUUGCACAAUGGGCGGAAGCCUGAUGCAGCAACGCCGCGUGCGGGAUGACGGCCUUCGGGUUGUAAACCGCUUUCGCCUGUGACGAAGCGUGAGUGACGGUAAUGGGUAAAGAAGCACCGGCUAACUACGUG
This 468-nucleotide ribosomal RNA is filed under the name uncultured bacterium. RNAcentral's name for it is "partial 16S ribosomal RNA". It matches the Rfam family "Bacterial small subunit ribosomal RNA", at positions 28 to 507 of the family's 1533-position model. The record is from RNAcentral.